Long non-coding RNA from Hevea brasiliensis (rubber tree), 552 nucleotides. RefSeq lists it as uncharacterized. The record is from RefSeq and is a predicted model, not a curated record. The transcript is spliced from 3 exons. Lineage: Eukaryota; Viridiplantae; Streptophyta; Magnoliopsida; Malpighiales; Euphorbiaceae.
AAAGAGGAGAGGAAGAAAAAGAAAGGAAAAGAAAGAAAGAAAGGAAGAAGGAGAAGAAGAGAAGGGAAGAGGGAGUUGGUGCUGGAUUUUUUUUCCGAGUUUUUCUAGCAAGAAAGAACACUAACAAGGGGAAAAGAAGGAUUUUUUAUCUGGGUUACAAGGAAUUUGAGGGAGAGAAAUGGAGAAGAAGGUGAACAGUAGCAAAAACAGGGGUCAGCAGAGGUAGCAUAUUUUUCUUCUGUCCAGGAGGAGCUUUUGAUUAUGGUUUUAAGUGGAUGGAAGGUGAUAUUUACUAGUUGGUAUCAUGAGGUCAGUUUUGCAGGAAAUUUAUGGUGAAUAGUGGAUAUUAGUUUGAUGGAUCUUAGAGCUCUGAUUGGCUAGACUCGAUGGUUCUGGGGAAGCAAGGGAAGGAAAUCUACAGUAGAGAAUAAGGAUGUGACACUAAGUCUGCAUCCUUCUCUCCCUCAUUCUCUCUUUGUUUUUACCUAUUAAUAAAAAUAAUAUAAGCUGUCUACACAAAAAUAUUUAUCAAUUUUCUUAAAUUUCUAAGUA